This 73-nucleotide transfer RNA is filed under the name Salmonella enterica subsp. enterica serovar Typhimurium str. LT2. RNAcentral describes it as "tRNA-Lys". It matches the Rfam family "tRNA". From Rfam's summary of the family: Transfer RNA (tRNA) molecules are approximately 80 nucleotides in length. The record is from RNAcentral. Lineage: Bacteria; Pseudomonadati; Pseudomonadota; Gammaproteobacteria; Enterobacterales; Enterobacteriaceae. RNAcentral also lists the same sequence under 1 other name.
AGUGGGUCGUUAGCUCAGUUGGUAGAGCAGUUGACUUUUAAUCAAUUGGUCGCAGGUUCGAAUCCUGCACGAC